UGGGGAAUUUUGGACAAUGGGCGCAAGCCUGAUCCAGCCAUGCCGCGUGCGGGAAGAAGGCCUUCGGGUUGUAAACCGCUUUUGUCAGGGAAGAAACGCUCUGGGCUAAUACCCUGGGGUAAUGACGGUACCUGAAGAAUAAGCACCGGCUAACUACGUGCCAGCAGCCGCGGUAAUACGUAGGGACCAAGCGUUGUUCGGAUUUACUGGGCGUAAAGGGCGCGUAGGCGGCAUGACAAGUCACUUGUGAAAUCUCUGGGCUUAACCCAGAACGGCCAAGUGAUACUGUCGCGCUAGAGUGCAGAAGGGGCAAUCGGAAUUCUUGGUGUAGCGGUGAAAUGCGUAGAUAUCAAGAGGAACACCUGAGGCGAAGGCGGGUUGCUGGGCUGAUACUGACGCUGAGGCGCGAAAGCUAGGGUAGCAAACGGGAUUAGAUACCCAAGUAGUCCCUGAGCGGGCUGGCAAGGCGCAU
RNAcentral lists this ribosomal RNA (472 nucleotides) under uncultured bacterium. Its description in RNAcentral is "bacterial SSU rRNA". It matches the Rfam family "Bacterial small subunit ribosomal RNA", at positions 355 to 825 of the family's 1533-position model. The record is from RNAcentral.